RNAcentral lists this small nucleolar RNA (120 nucleotides) under Echinops telfairi (small Madagascar hedgehog). RNAcentral's name for it is "Small nucleolar RNA SNORA61 (ENSETEG00000024372.1)". The record is from RNAcentral. Lineage: Eukaryota; Metazoa; Chordata; Mammalia; Afrosoricida; Tenrecidae.
AUGCUCCAUAUUCCUUCCCCAUUAGAUCUAAACCAUGGUCUGAGUGGCUAUGCAAAGAGAAAAGUCAAACUCACAUGGACUUGGAUUCUUUUGUGACACACAAGUUAGUUUCAAACAAAU